CUACGUGCCAGCAGCCGCGGUAAUACGUAGGGCGCGAGCGUUGUCCGGAAUUAUUGGGCGUAAAGAGCUUGUAGGCGGUUGGUCGCGUCUGCUGUGAAAGGCUGGGGCUUAACCCUGGUUUUGCAGUGGGUACGGGCUAACUAGAGUGCAGUAGGGGAGACUGGAAUUCCUGGUGUAGCGGUGGAAUGCGCAGAUAUCAGGAGGAACACCGAUGGCGAAGGCAGCCCCUUGGGAAUGUACUGACGCUCAUGUGCGAAAGCGUGGGGAGCAAACAGGAUUAGAUACCCUGGUAGUCCACGCUGUAAACGAUGUCGAUUUGGGGGUUGAGCUUUAAGCUUGGCGCCCGUAGCUAACGUGAUAAAUCGACCGCCUGGGGAGUACGGCCGCAAGGUUAAAACUCAAAUGAAUUGACGGGGGCCCGCACAAGCGGUGGAGCAUGUGGUUUAAUUCGAUGCAACGCGAAGAACCUUACCUACUCUUGACAUCCAGA
Molecule: ribosomal RNA, 490 nt
Filed under: uncultured bacterium
Lineage: Bacteria
Description: bacterial SSU rRNA
Rfam family: Bacterial small subunit ribosomal RNA
Source: RNAcentral